Non-coding RNA from Drosophila virilis, 1153 nucleotides. The record is from RefSeq and is a predicted model, not a curated record. Lineage: Eukaryota; Metazoa; Arthropoda; Insecta; Diptera; Drosophilidae.
UGUUAUUUGUCAAUUCAAAUGGAAUUUGAAAGGUUCACAAAAAAUUGAAAUGUUUUCGGCACUGCAAUGCCUUACAUGUAAAAAAUUGCGAAUUGAAUUUUGAGCCAAACACGGGAGUAGUCGCCACAUGCCACCCUCUUCGCCCGAGUGCCAUUGUUAGCCGCACUGUCCGUCUGUAAGUGAAAAAUGGAACCACAAACUAUUAUAGCAGAGCUAAAACUAUCUGAGCCUGAUGUAGGAUAUAAACUUCAAGCGUAGUCCCUGGACUUUUUGCAAUAAAAUUGUAUAAAUAUUUAAGAAUUUCUUUUUCAGAAAGAUUUCGUAAUACAAAAUUGUUGUGAUUUCAGCGCUGAGUAUUUAAUGAAAUAGAAGCAAAUCACUUGAUGAAGAAAUCUUUAAUAUAAAACUCAACUGGUAUGUGCCUGGCUCAUGCUUUAAAUGGCUUGACCUCCUUGGAAGCCCUUCGUUGAGAGGUUUUGGCUGGGGUCAUCUUUUGGGCAAUUUAUGGUGAAGUGUCGUGCUUGGAAUAGACGGUCAAACGGACAGAUUGGCUGACCAAUAAACGAUCUGUGGCCACCGCUGCAAAUGAGUUAAGUUUGGCGGCUGGAAAACUUUUCAUAACUUUGCCAAGAAGAUGCGGACCGUUGCGUUAAUUGGAGCUAUGGGCUUCACUAAGCGCCGUCGCGCCGCAGAAUACAAAGUUUAAUGGGGGAGCUGAUUAACCCGUCGGGAGGCGCAGCCCAAAGAUGUUGAACAGAAAAGAAAAGCGCAGCGUAAUUAUCUUGAUGAGAUUCGCCCGGGCAGCUAUCAAGUCGAAGGUGACCCGUGCCCCGUUGCUGUUGGGGGUUCAUCAACCCGUUGCGGGCUAAAAUUAAGUUAUGUGCAGUGGAACGGAACGUUUGACAUGUCUCCCUCUAAUAAGCUAAAUGAAAACAAAAAUGUCAUCCAAGUCAGUCGCAAAUUGACGACAAAGUAACCUAAUAACUUUGCCCACACAAUAAUUGGAAUUUAUGACUCAUUUUUCUACAACUAUACUGCAAAAGGGCCAUUGGCCUGCCGGAGGUUUCCACCCACUACUCCUGGUCAAUUCACUCUCAUCUUUGCACUCUCCCCAGACUCUUUUCUUGUGUUAAAUAAAGCGCGUUGGAACCAA